GUAGGGGGCAAGCGUUGUCCGGAAUCAUUGGGCGUAAAGCGCGUGUAGGCGGCCUCGUAAGUCCGCUCUGAAAGCCUGGGGCUCAACCCCAGGAGGCGGGUGGAUACUGCGAGGCUCGAGUACGGAAGAGGCGAGUGGAAUUCCCGGUGUAGCGGUGAAAUGCGCAGAUAUCGGGAGGAACACCAAUGGCGAAGGCAGCUCGCUGGGACGUUACUGACGCUGAGACGCGAAAGCGUGGGGAGCAAACAGGAUUAGAUACCCUGGUAGUCCACGCCGUAAACGAUGGAUACUAGGUGUGGGAGGUGUCGACUCCUCCCGUGCCGAAGCUAACGCAUUAAGUAUCCCGCCUGGGGAGUACGGCCGCAAGGCUA
RNAcentral lists this ribosomal RNA (371 nucleotides) under uncultured bacterium. Its description in RNAcentral is "bacterial SSU rRNA". It matches the Rfam family "Bacterial small subunit ribosomal RNA", at positions 527 to 896 of the family's 1533-position model. The record is from RNAcentral.